GCCUGGGUGGCUUAGUUGGUUAAGCGUCUGACUCUUGAUUUAAACUCAGGUCAUGAUCUCACGGUUUGUGGGUUCGAGCCCUGCAUCAGGCU
This 92-nucleotide transfer RNA is filed under the name Felis catus (domestic cat). It matches the Rfam family "tRNA". From Rfam's summary of the family: Transfer RNA (tRNA) molecules are approximately 80 nucleotides in length. Their secondary structure includes four short double-helical elements and three loops (D, anti-codon, and T loops). RNAcentral also lists the same sequence under 1 other name. The record is from Rfam by way of RNAcentral. Lineage: Eukaryota; Metazoa; Chordata; Mammalia; Carnivora; Felidae.